Molecule: ribosomal RNA, 460 nt
Filed under: uncultured bacterium
Lineage: Bacteria
Description: partial 16S ribosomal RNA
Rfam family: Bacterial small subunit ribosomal RNA
Source: RNAcentral
CCUACGGGAGGCAGCAGUGAGGAAUUUUGGUCAAUGGACGAGAGUCUGAACCAGCCAAGCCGCGUGAAGGAUGACUGCCCUAUGGAUUUUAAACUUCUUUUAUAAAGGAAUAAAGUGAGGCACGUGUGCCUUUUUGUAUUUACUUUAUGAUUAAGGAUCGGCUAACUCCGUGCCAGUAGCCGCGGUAAUACGGAGGAUCCGAGCGGUAUCCGGAUUUAUUGGGUUUAAAGGGAGCGUAGAUGGGUUGUUAAGUCAGUUGUGAAAGUUUUCGGCUCAAACGUAAAAUUGCAAUUGAUACUGGCAGUCUUGAGUACAGUUGAGGUAGGCGGAAUUCGUGGUGUAGCGGUGAAAUGCGUAGAUAUCACGAAGAACUCCGAUUGCGAAGGCAGCUGACUAAACUGCCACUGACAUUGAUGCACGAAAGUGUGGGUAUCAAACAGGAUUAGAUACCCGGGUAGUC